GGCAGAGUGCCCGAGGAGGGCCGGAGGCAGAGUGCCCGAGUGUCUGAGGAGGGCUGGAGGCGCAGUGGCUAAGGAGGGCGGUUAAUGCAUGGCUAAAGUCAUGGUUUGGGAAAGAGGAUUUUGGCUUUUAGAGCACUUAAAUGGAAGAGGGUCUUCAGUGCUGGGGGAGCAGGAUGGCUAGAAUGUUGGAUGAGAUUUUAAACUAGUGGUAGGGGAGAGGGACAUAGAAAUCUACAAAAGUGAGAUAGGACAGGCGUUGGGCUUUAGCUUAGUACAAGGGAAAGGCAAGAUCAGAACACAGGAGGUAUGUAAUAGUAAUAAAAAACAUUCUGGGCAGAUCUCUGCUUGGACAAAAGAAGGGACUUAAAUUAUUGGUUGGGAUAACUUAUAAGCCACCUAAUGUUAGUAUUGAUGAGGAAGAACAGAUGUUAAAGCAAAUUGGGAAAGCUAGACAUCUGGGUAACACGUUAAUUAUUGGAGAUUUUAAUUACCUGAACAUAAAUUGGGAUAAAGGGACUAAUAAUUCAGCAAGGGAAAUCAGAUUUUUAAAUUUGUUAUAAGACACCUUCAUGCCGCAACUGUAAUAAGUGCCAACUAGAAAAGGUGCUUGUUGAUCUUUUGACCAACAUUUAAGUAGGGGAGCACUUGGAAAAUAGUGGUCAUCUUUUGAAAUAAACUAAAAAAAAAAAAGCGCAUGGGUGUAUUCUAAGACAUAAUUUUAAGG
This is a non-coding RNA of Pelobates cultripes (western spadefoot toad), 724 nucleotides long. Lineage: Eukaryota; Metazoa; Chordata; Amphibia; Anura; Pelobatidae. The record is from the annotation of a GenBank genome assembly.